UUAGGAGUUUUUGUCUGCUCAGGACGAACGCUGGCGGCGUGCCUAAUACAUGCAAGUCGAGCGGACAGAAGGGAGCUUGCUCCCGGAUGUUAGCGGCGGACGGGUGAGUAACACGUGGGUAACCUGCCUGUAAGACUGGGAUAACUCCGGGAAACCGGAGCUAAUACCGGAUAGUUCCUUGAACCGCAUGGUUCAAGGAUGAAAGACGGUUUCGGCUGUCACUUACAGAUGGACCCGCGGCGCAUUAGCUAGUUGGUGGGGUAAUGGCUCACCAAGGCGACGAUGCGUAGCCGACCUGAGAGGGUGAUCGGCCACACUGGGACUGAGACACGGCCCAGACUCCUACGGGAGGCAGCAGUAGGGAAUCUUCCGCAAUGGACGAAAGUCUGACGGAGCAACGCCGCGUGAGUGAUGAAGGUUUUCGGAUCGUAAAGCUCUGUUGUUAGGGAAGAACAAGUGCGAGAGUAACUGCUCGCACCUUGACGGUACCUAACCAGAAAGCCACGGCUAACUACGUGCCAGCAGCCGCGGUAAUACGUAGGUGGCAAGCGUUGUCCGGAAUUAUUGGGCGUAAAGGGCUCGCAGGCGGUUUCUUAAGUCUGAUGUGAAAGCCCCCGGCUCAACCGGGGAGGGUCAUUGGAAACUGGGAAACUUGAGUGCAGAAGAGGAGAGUGGAAUUCCACGUGUAGCGGUGAAAUGCGUAGAGAUGUGGAGGAACACCAGUGGCGAAGGCGACUCUCUGGUCUGUAACUGACGCUGAGGAGCGAAAGCGUGGGGAGCGAACAGGAUUAGAUACCCUGGUAGUCCACGCCGUAAACGAUGAGUGCUAAGUGUUAGGGGGUUUCCGCCCCUUAGUGCUGCAGCUAACGCAUUAAGCACUCCGCCUGGGGAGUACGGUCGCAAGACUGAAACUCAAAGGAAUUGACGGGGGCCCGCACAAGCGGUGGAGCAUGUGGUUUAAUUCGAAGCAACGCGAAGAACCUUACCAGGUCUUGACAUCCUCUGACAACCCUAGAGAUAGGGCUUUCCCUUCGGGGACAGAGUGACAGGUGGUGCAUGGUUGUCGUCAGCUCGUGUCGUGAGAUGUUGGGUUAAGUCCCGCAACGAGCGCAACCCUUGAUCUUAGUUGCCAGCAUUCAGUUGGGCACUCUAAGGUGACUGCCGGUGACAAACCGGAGGAAGGUGGGGAUGACGUCAAAUCAUCAUGCCCCUUAUGACCUGGGCUACACACGUGCUACAAUGGACAGAACAAAGGGCUGCAAGACCGCAAGGUUUAGCCAAUCCCAUAAAUCUGUUCUCAGUUCGGAUCGCAGUCUGCAACUCGACUGCGUGAAGCUGGAAUCGCUAGUAAUCGCGGAUCAGCAUGCCGCGGUGAAUACGUUCCCGGGCCUUGUACACACCGCCCGUCACACCACGAGAGUUUGCAACACCCGAAGUCGGUGAGGUAACCUUUAUGGAGCCAGCCGCCGAAGGUGGGGCAGAUGAUUGGGGUGAAGUCGUAACAAGGUAA
Molecule: ribosomal RNA, 1510 nt
Filed under: Bacillus safensis
Lineage: Bacteria; Bacillati; Bacillota; Bacilli; Caryophanales; Bacillaceae
Description: bacterial SSU rRNA
Rfam family: Bacterial small subunit ribosomal RNA
Source: RNAcentral